This is a long non-coding RNA of Fukomys damarensis (Damara mole-rat), 1569 nucleotides long. RefSeq lists it as uncharacterized. Lineage: Eukaryota; Metazoa; Chordata; Mammalia; Rodentia; Bathyergidae. The transcript has 3 exons. The record is from RefSeq and is a predicted model, not a curated record.
CCAGCUCCUGUGGGUCACAGAGACAGCGUGAGGCCAGUGAGCCUCAGGACCCAGCACACCGUGAGAGCGCAGAGGGGCUGCACCGGAGGGGCCAAGAGCACAGCAGGGCUCUGGACGGGAGUAGGGUCGGCUUCUCACACCUAGGGGCCACAGGCCAGGCACUGCUGCGGUGCUCACCUCCCUCUGCCCUGGCCCCGGCCUGGUCUGCAGCACAAGGGAGCUGGUGCUGCACUUGCUCGGGGAUCUGCCCUGGGUCAGUUGGCAAUGUGCCGAGAGGCCCUCAACAGCACAGAUUGGGCUCGGGUGGAGCUCAUCAGGUGCGCGUAUGCCAACAAUUCACAAGGGCCUGAGUUCACUGCCCAAAAGAGAACACAGGCCAGGUGCCAGGGCUGCCAAGCGUGGACACCCACGGCCUUGUGAAUGCUCACAAUUACAGCCGCCCCCACCACAGCUCACUUCCCAAGGUUUCAGCUGCGCGGUCAAUCAUAGCCCCAAAAUAUUAAGUGGAGCAUCCCAGAAAUAAAUAGUACAUGAGUUUUAAACAACACGUCAUUCUAUCUUAUUAUUGGUUAUUAUUGCUCAUCUCUUACUGUGCCUCAUAUGUAAGUUAUCAUAGGUAAAUAACAUCAUUAUAAAUAACUUCUAGUUCUUUCCCUUUUCUAUUGUAAUUCUGAGUAAACUACGUACGUGGCUUGUAUUACCUUUCUGUUGUAUACUGCUGGUCUGGGUCAAAGCCCCAACAAUAUUUUAAUCAAAAUCAUACUUGUCUAAUUAUAGUUAAAAUACAUGGACCUGACCCAAAUUGUACUUGUCAAGAGCAGGCUGUCAGGCUGAGUCGGCCUACUGAGUGGGUCCUGAAGAAUGCGACCCCUUCCCAGCUGCUGCGGGCAGGCAGGCGCUGGUGCCUGUGAGUCCUCCUGUUCCUGACCCGGUUCAGAUGUCUGCUGCCUGGGGCUGUCGCAUGUUCACUCCCGGCUGCAGUGGCCUUGCGCUUAGGAGAGUGAUGUGGCUGGCUACAAAAUCUGCUUUCCUGGAGUGCUGGCAAAGUUCUGAGGAUAAGUAGAUUGUCCCUCUCUGAUACCUCUGCUCAAAGGGUUUUCUUCUUCUCCUUAAAGCCUAAUACUUUCCUGCAGUUUUUCUUGAUGCUAGCCAUGAGAGCCCGUUCCCCAGCUGUGGAUGCUGUCUAAGCGGAAGAUGUGCGCCCCCCACACCUAAGCCCGCAAGGCUCAGGAGCUCACAGCAGCCCCCAGACAGUCGCUAAGCCGAGGAAACCUCUGCAGAACAAACUUCAGUGUGGGACGAAAGGGAUGCGGGCAUGCUUCUGCACCACCCUGAAGUCAGAAAACUGCGUCACCUCAGCCUAACUUGGGACCAUCGCACUCUGACAUCUUCUAUUUUAUCAACAUUGUCUUGAAAUAAAAACUUCAAUCUUUGUUCUGUUCAGGAAUCCAACUCGGGUCCUUCACUUGCAAGGCUGGCGGCGGCACCACUGAGGGCAGACAGAUCCCAGCGUUUCCGGCACUGGCUGCAGCCAACUCACCUGGACAUGCCUCUGCUUCAGCAGUGUCU